GACGAACGCUGGCGGCGUGCUUAACACAUGCAAGUCGAACGCUGAAGCUCAGCUUUUGUUGGGUGGAUGAGUGGCGAACGGGUGAGUAACACGUGAGUAACCUGCCCCCUUCUUUGGGAUAACGCCCGGAAACGGGUGCUAAUACUGGAUAUUCACUGGUCUUCGCAUGGAGGUUGGUGGAAAGGGUUUUUCUGGUGGGGGAUGGGCUCGCGGCCUAUCAGCUUGUUGGUGGGGUGAUGGCCUACCAAGGCUUUGACGGGUAGCCGGCCUGAGAGGGUGACCGGUCACAUUGGGACUGAGAUACGGCCCAGACUCCUACGGGAGGCAGCAGUGGGGAAUAUUGCACAAUGGGCGCAAGCCUGAUGCAGCGACGCCGCGUGAGGGAUGGAGGCCUUCGGGUUGUGAACCUCUUUCGCUCAUGGUCAAGCCGCAACAAUGGUUGUGGUGAGGGUAGUGGGUAAAGAAGCGCCGGCUAACUACGUG
This 483-nucleotide ribosomal RNA is filed under the name uncultured bacterium. RNAcentral describes it as "partial 16S ribosomal RNA". It matches the Rfam family "Bacterial small subunit ribosomal RNA", at positions 28 to 507 of the family's 1533-position model. The record is from RNAcentral.